This 59-nucleotide transfer RNA is filed under the name Anolis otongae. RNAcentral describes it as "tRNA-Cys". The record is from RNAcentral. Lineage: Eukaryota; Metazoa; Chordata; Lepidosauria; Squamata; Anolidae.
AGCCCCGGAGCCCCUUAGGGCUCGUCUAAAACUUACAUUACGUGGGCUACCUCAGGGCU